UGGAACGCCUCUCCGGCGGGCGGAACCCUGUAGCCCGAGGCCAUAGCUCUGUCGCGCUGGCCAACGGUUUACCUUGGCCCUUGCGCCCGGGGAUCUCCGUCAUCACUCCAUAUUGAUGUCGCAUGACCGCUGGGCGGCUGACUCACCGCUCCAGAGCCCGGCCCUAGUCUGGGACUAGGGAUUCUCGUCACCACGGGCACUUCCACG
RNAcentral lists this long non-coding RNA (207 nucleotides) under Mus musculus (house mouse). RNAcentral's name for it is "long non-coding RNA chr1:30949979-30950186". The record is from RNAcentral. Lineage: Eukaryota; Metazoa; Chordata; Mammalia; Rodentia; Muridae.